RNAcentral lists this long non-coding RNA (418 nucleotides) under Chelonoidis abingdonii (Abingdon island giant tortoise). Its description in RNAcentral is "lncRNA (ENSCABG00000022624.1)". Lineage: Eukaryota; Metazoa; Chordata; Testudines; Testudinidae. The record is from RNAcentral.
GCGGGAGCUCCCUGCUGGCCGCCCACAGGGAGAGGGAGCGAGGCGCGGAGCUGUCCCCGGGCCGCGGCCGUGGCAGAAGCUCCCCCAGAUAUGGAUAACAGACGUGAUGAGAAAUGUGGAACGCCAUGCGCUACAUCACAAGAAGAGAUGAAAGUCAGAGGGAAAGACAAGAGAAAGCGAAAACGCAGCAGAAGCAGAUCAUCAUCCAUUUCAUCAGCAUCAUCUGCUAGUACUACUACUGCAUCCUCCUCGUCCUCUUCAUCAAGAUCUUCCUCUUCUUCAAGCAGCAGAAGCAGUUCAAGUGGCAGAGAUUCUCCCAAGUCUAAAUCAAAGAAAAGGAAAAAAGAAAAACGCAACAAAAAGGUAAAUAUUUGCUGACAGAAAUAAAUAGCAAUCCAGGCAAAAAAAUUUAAAUGUU